This is a long non-coding RNA of Phalaenopsis equestris, 124 nucleotides long. RefSeq lists it as uncharacterized. NCBI's taxonomy places the organism in Eukaryota, Viridiplantae, Streptophyta, Magnoliopsida, Asparagales, Orchidaceae. The transcript has 2 exons. The record is from RefSeq and is a predicted model, not a curated record.
GUUGAAAGAUGGAUGGAAAAACUUGAUGAAACCGAAACUAAAUUGAGAUUAUCAAUUAAAUCAAGCAUAGUUGUAGUUUGCUUGUUGGUUGGUGGUUUGUGGUAUGAAUAUAUCUACAGGCUAG